CUCUAGUUCAUUGGAAAUUUCUGCUUCUUUGAGACUGGGUUAGAUUCCACUUCUUCUGACUACACCACCACCAUCAAUCUCCUUCUCUGAACUCCUGGAUCAUUACUUCAAUCUGAAACAAUUCAUCAGGCAGAAUAGUUGCCUACUGCCCCAACCCCACCAAAUGUUCCAGCACCUCUGAUAUUACCUCACAUGGCAAGAGGGCUUUGAAGAUGUGAUUGAUUCAAGGAUCUUAAAUGGGGAGAUUAUCCUGAAUUAUUCAGGUGGACCCAGUGUAAUCACAAAGGUUUUUCAAAGAUGGAAGAGAGGCAGAAGAGCCAGAAAAGGAUAUGUGACAAUGGAGUCAGUGUCAGAGCUGGAGUGAUGUGAUGUGAGAAGGAUUCAACCUGCUGCUUCUGGCUUUGAGGAUGAAAGAAGGGGCCAUGGGCCAAGGAAUACAGGUGGCUUCUUUCAAGAAGCUGGAAAAGGGCCAAACUCUGUAAAGAAUAUGGAGAACUGACAAUAUAUUGGAGCUUCCAACUUGCUCUUUCUUGCACUGCUUCUCUGAGGAAACCCAGCUACCAUGUCCUGAGGAUGCUCACCAUCUACAGAGAGUUUACUUGGAGAGAAACUGAAGUCUCCAGCCAAGACCCAGCAUCAACUUCCCAGUUACGUGAGUGAGCCAUCCUGGAAGCAAACUCUCCAGCACCAGUAAAGUGUUUAGAUGACUGCAGCCCCUUUCAACAUCUUGACUGCAACCUCAUGAGAGACCCUUAGCCAGAACCACCCAGCUAAACCCAUCCAGAUGCACAGAAACUGUGGGAGAUCAUAAAUGUUUAUUGCUGUUUUAAGCUUCUAAGUUUGGGGGUAUUUUGUUAUUCAGCAAUAGGUAACUAACACAACACUCUACCCACCAGAUGACAAAUCAUUUCCGAUAUAGUAAAAGAAACCUUCAACAAUAUACUUCUAUUUCACCUCCUGUCCACAUAUACUACUUUCUGUGUUUUAUUGUGAUUCCUAGCUAGUGAAGUUUGGCAAGAAAAAGGAACAGAAUACAUAGAGAUUGGAAAGGAAAGUGUUUUUAUUUGCAGAUGACAUGAUAAUCCACAUUAAAAAAAAUGAAGAAUUGUGCUACUGGAACUAAUAAGUAAGUUUAACAAGGCUGCAGGAUAGAAGGUCAAUAUUCAGAAAUUCAUUAUAUCUCUAUAUAGUCACAAUUGACUAUAUUGACAAUUGGGAUUUCAUAUUAAUUUAAUAAUACCAUUUUUAUGGCACUUGAUGUUGGUAAAAUGUAAACAUUUUAGGGAUAAAUGUCAUAAAAUAUGUGUACAAUCUGUAUACUCAAAAGCACAAAAUGUACUGAAAGAAAUUAGAUAAAACCUCAAUAAAUGGAGAUAUAAACCAUGUUCACAGAUUGGGAGACUAAUUGUUAAAAUAUCAAAUGUCCCCAAACUGAUUCCAUGUUUAUCAAAAUCCCAGUAGCUCUUUGGUAAAAAUUGAUAAAUCAGCUCAAGAAUUUAUAUAUCAGUCCAAAAGUUCAUAAGUGUUGCAACAAGUGUUAGAAAAGAACAAAAUUGGAGAACAUAUAGUAUCUGAUCUCUAGUGUUUUAUAAAGCUGUAGUUAUUAAAUAGCAUGACAUUGGCAUAGAGAGAGACAUAUACAAAAAUAGAAACAAAUAAUAGUCCCAGAAUAGAUAGAUACACAUGUAGUCAAUUUAUUUUUGACAAAGUUUUCAAGAUAAUUCAGUGGAGGAAAGGAUAGUCUUUGCAAUAGAUGCAAAAGGUACUGGAACAAUUUGAUAGCCAUCUGGGCCUUAACCCUUGCCAUACAUCCUAUAGAAAUUAGCUUUAAAUGGACUGUACACUAUAAAAUUAUAGAAGAAAGCAUAGGCAAAUAUCUUUGUAACCUUGAUUAGGCAGACGCUUCUUAGAUAGGACACAAAAUGUAUGAACCAGAGGAAAAAUAAAUGGUAAAAAGGAAUUAAUUGAAAUUAAAAACGUUUGUUUUUAAAACACACAAGAAGAGGAAAAGGCAAACUACAGAUAGAAAAUAUUGGCAAAGUAUACAUCUGAUGAAGGGCUUGUUUCCAUAAUAUAAAAAGAAUUCUUACAACUCACUAAGAAGAAGAUAAACAUUUGAAAACAAAAAUAGGUGAAAGAUUUGUAGGUACUCUGCCAAAUGAAUUAUGUGAAUGGUAAACAGCAUAUGAAAAGAUGGUCAACAUUAUUAGUUAUUAAGGGAAUGCAAAUGAAUGAAUACAUAAAUUGUACAUUUAUACGUAAAAUUUUACUCAGCAAUAAAAAGUGAAGAACUAUU
Rhinopithecus roxellana (golden snub-nosed monkey) is the source of this 2296-nucleotide long non-coding RNA. RefSeq lists it as uncharacterized. The record is from RefSeq and is a predicted model, not a curated record. The transcript has 3 exons. Lineage: Eukaryota; Metazoa; Chordata; Mammalia; Primates; Cercopithecidae.